GACGAACGCUGGCGGCGUGCUUAACACAUGCAAGUCGAGCGGUAAGGCCCUUUCGGGGGUACACGAGCGGCGAACGGGUGAGUAACACGUGGGUGACCUGCCCUCCAGCUCUGGGAUAAGCCUGGGAAACCGGGUCUAAUACCGGAUAUGACUCCAUGACGCAUGUUGUGGGGUGGAAAGCCUUGUGCGGCUGAGGAUGGGCCCG
Molecule: ribosomal RNA, 205 nt
Filed under: uncultured bacterium
Lineage: Bacteria
Description: partial 16S ribosomal RNA
Rfam family: Bacterial small subunit ribosomal RNA
Source: RNAcentral